UCCCAGCGUGGAGCGUCAGACCAGGAGGAGGAGGAACAGGAGGAACACCACUCUCCGCCCGGAGCCUCUCAGGCUGCCUGACGGUUCUGCUGGGCUCCUCAGAGCUGCAUCUCUCUGGCUGAGGAGACCUGCUCCUCCUGCUGCUGCCCGGGUCAGGAUCCAGCCCGGCUCGCAUUACGCUCCGGGUCACAGAGGGAGAGGUGACCCAGAACCAUGGGAGGCAUUUAGGAGGUCCAGCUGGAAGGAGCAGUCCUGGUUCCUCACAGGUCGGGCUGAGCUGCUGCAGAGGUAACUCCUCAGAGACAGAGCAAGCUUCCAGGAUGCUGGCAGGAUUCCCAGCAGUUAUUCCUGAUCCACGCAGCCGGAGCUGAACCUCAGCAGCUGAAGGAUCCGGUCACCAUCAGAGGCUUUAUUCUGGAAUCUGUGGAAUCAUCAGAGGUUUAGAGAAACCAGGAGAAAAGUUUUGGCAGCAUCUCCUCCACCUGGAAUCUGAGUCUGGACUUUCCUUCUGGAUCCAUCAGAAAACUAAAAGUUUUCCUGUAAGAAUCAAGCUUCAGCCUUCCUGGCUGUGGAGGUUUCAUCGUUUUGGGAGCAGAAAGCAUCUGAGGAGCAUUUGGGAGCCUGGAAACAUGUCAACACCUGUUUCCACUCUCCAUUUACUGAACGGUCAAGUUAAGAAGAAAGAUUCCAGGAUAUUCUGCAGCGUCUCACACAUCCUUCCUCCAUAAUGUCUUUUUUUGUUUUUUAAAUUCAUUUUUUAGUGGCUGGAUGCCAACCUGUCAGUAAAAAAUGCAGAGUGGAGCCUCUAUUUCUAGGAAAUACUGACGGAACAGGAACGCCUCUGAAUAAAGAACAUUUGCUGAGUAAAUAAAAUCAACUUUCUGAUAUUAAACAAAGCAGAUCUGA
This is a long non-coding RNA of Fundulus heteroclitus (mummichog), 906 nucleotides long. RefSeq lists it as uncharacterized. NCBI's taxonomy places the organism in Eukaryota, Metazoa, Chordata, Actinopteri, Cyprinodontiformes, Fundulidae. The record is from RefSeq and is a predicted model, not a curated record. The transcript is spliced from 2 exons.